UCUGGAAGUGAUGGCACUCUUGGCCCUCAGUCAGAAACUAUUCAGUAUCGAGAACAUUUUAUGUAGUCUAAUGAUCUGAGCCAGA
Carcharodon carcharias (great white shark) is the source of this 85-nucleotide small nucleolar RNA. RefSeq annotates it as small nucleolar RNA SNORD103/SNORD85. NCBI's taxonomy places the organism in Eukaryota, Metazoa, Chordata, Chondrichthyes, Lamniformes, Lamnidae. The transcript has a single exon. The record is from RefSeq and is a predicted model, not a curated record.